AAGAGAGGCCCGCCGGCAACGAAGACUGCUAAUCUUCGCACCCAUAGUUAAACCCCAUGGCUCACUUG
Molecule: transfer RNA, 68 nt
Filed under: Lates calcarifer (barramundi perch)
Lineage: Eukaryota; Metazoa; Chordata; Actinopteri; Centropomidae
Description: tRNA-Ser
Source: RNAcentral